This 671-nucleotide ribosomal RNA is filed under the name Calothrix sp. ampf4. RNAcentral describes it as "bacterial SSU rRNA". It matches the Rfam family "Bacterial small subunit ribosomal RNA", at positions 83 to 790 of the family's 1533-position model. The record is from RNAcentral. Lineage: Bacteria; Bacillati; Cyanobacteriota; Cyanophyceae; Nostocales; Calotrichaceae.
AGUAACGUUGUUUCGGGACGCGGGUGAUAACGCGUGAGAAUCUGCCUAUAGGUUCGGGACAACAUUGGGAAACUGAUGCUAAUACCGGAUGUGCCGAGAGGUGAAAGAUUAAUUGCCUAUAGAUGAGCUCGCGUCUGAUUAGCUAGUUGGAGUGGUAACGGCACACCAAGGCAACGAUCAGUAACUGGUCUGAGAGGAUGACCAGUCACACUGGGACUGAGACACGGCCCAGACUCCUACGGGAGGCAGCAGUGGGGAAUUUUCCGCAAUGGGCGAAAGCCUGACGGAGCAAUACCGCGUGAGGGAGGACGGCUUUUGGGUUGUAAACCUCUUUUAUUGGGGAAGAAGAACUGACGGUACCCAAUGAAUCAGCAUCGGCUAACUCCGUGCCAGCAGCCGCGGUAAUACGGAGGAUGCAAGCGUUAUCCGGAAUUAUUGGGCGUAAAGGGUCCGCAGGUGGCCGUUCAAGUCUGCUGUUAAAGCGUGGAGCUUAACUCCAUAAAGGCAGUGGAAACUGAGAGGCUAGAGUUCGGUAGGGGUCACGGGAAUUCCCAGUGUAGCGGUGAAAUGCGUAGAUAUUGGGAAGAACACCGGCGGCGAAAGCGCGUGACUGGGCUGAGACUGACACUGAGGGACGAAAGCUAGGGGAGCGAAAGGGAUUAGAUACCCUG